GACGUAGGGCGCGAGCGUUGUCCGGAUUUAUUGGGCGUAAAGAGCUCGUAGGCGGCUUGUCGCGUCGACUGUGAAAACCCGCGGCUCAACUGCGGGCCUGCAGCCGAUACGGGCAGGCUAGAGUUCGGUAGGGGAGACUGGAAUUCCUGGUGUAGCGGUGAAAUGCGCAGAUAUCAGGAGGAACACCGGUGGCGAAGGCGGGUCUCUGGGCAGUAACUGACACUCAGGGACGAAAGCUAGGGGAGCGAAUGGG
Molecule: ribosomal RNA, 253 nt
Filed under: uncultured bacterium
Lineage: Bacteria
Description: partial 16S ribosomal RNA
Rfam family: Bacterial small subunit ribosomal RNA
Source: RNAcentral